This 360-nucleotide ribosomal RNA is filed under the name Triticum aestivum (bread wheat). RNAcentral's name for it is "partial small subunit ribosomal RNA". The record is from RNAcentral. Lineage: Eukaryota; Viridiplantae; Streptophyta; Magnoliopsida; Poales; Poaceae.
AUGGAAAUUGGAGCCGGUAAGCUCUUCCUUCCAGUAUCAACAGCAUCAGUACCCUUGUCCAUUAAAUCAAUUUUCGUGAGCACACCAAAGGUCCGUUCACCUGAAUCAACAAAAAGUAAAGUUCAAGCUCAGAAAUGGUUAGAAGUGCCAAGAGCAAUGGUACUUGAAUUAAACGCAAUUAUUAUAUGUGAAUUUUCCUUUCCAUUAACAGAGUUGGCCCACAAUAGGAUCACACAAAAAAAACAUAUCAAGCCAAUUGUCAAUAUAAUAUGGUUGAUAUCCACAAAGACAAAUUGCAAGGUACAGGUAUUAUCAGUAGACAGUAGUUAUCAUUAUAUCUCCUAUUGGUUCAAGAGAUAA